GACGAACGCUGGCGGCGUGCUUAACACAUGCAAGUCGAACGCUGAAGCUCAGCUUUUGUUGGGUGGAUGAGUGGCGAACGGGUGAGUAACACGUGAGUAACCUGCCCCCUUCUUUGGGAUAACGCCCGGAAACGGGUGCUAAUACUGGAUAUUCACUGGUCUUCGCAUGGGGGUUGGUGGAAAGGGUUUUUCUGGUAGGGGAUGGGCUCGCGGCCUAUCAGCUUGUUGGUGGGGUGAUGGCCUACCAAGGCUUUGACGGGUAGCCGGCCUGAGAGGGUGACCGGUAACAUUGGGACUGAGAUACGGCCCAGACUCCUACGGGAGGCAGCAGUGGGGAAUAAUGCACAAUGGGCGCAAGCCUGAUGCAGCGACGCCGCGUGAGUGAUGGAGGCCUUCGGGUUGUGAACCUCUUUCGCUCAUGGUCAAGCCGCAACAAUGGUUGUGGUGAGGGUAGUGGGUAAAGAAGCGCCGGCUAACUACGUG
RNAcentral lists this ribosomal RNA (483 nucleotides) under uncultured bacterium. Its description in RNAcentral is "partial 16S ribosomal RNA". It matches the Rfam family "Bacterial small subunit ribosomal RNA", at positions 28 to 507 of the family's 1533-position model. The record is from RNAcentral.